AGCGGCGGAUAGGUGAGUAACACGUGGGGAACCUGCCCCUAAGUCUGGGAUACCAUUUGGAAACAGGUGCUAAUACCGGAUAAUAAAGCAGAUCGCAUGAUCAGCUUUUGAAAGGCGGCGUAAGCUGUCGCUAAGGGAUGGCCCCGCGGUGCAUUAGCUAGUUGGUAAGGUAACGGCUUACCAAGGCGACGAUGCAUAGCCGAGUUGAGAGACUGAUCGGCCACAUUGGGACUGAGACACGGCCCAAACUCCUACGGGAGGCAGCAGUAGGGAAUCUUCCACAAUGGAUGCAAGUCUGAUGGAGCAACGCCGCGUGAGUGAAGAAGGUUUUCGGAUCGUAAAGCUCUGUUGUUGGUGAAGAAGGAUAGAGGUAGUAACUGGCCUUUAUUUGGCGGUAAUCAACCAGAAAGUCACGGCUAACUACGUGCCAGCAGCCGCGGUAAUACGUAGGUGGCAAGCGUUGUCCGGAUUUAUUGGGCGUAAAGCGAGCGCAGGCGGAAAAAUAAGUCUAAUGUGAAAGCCCUCGGCUUAACCGAGGAACUGCAUCGGAAACUGUUUUUCUUGAGUGCAGAAGAGGAGAGUGGAACUCCAUGUGUAGCGGUGGAAUGCGUAGAUAUAUGGAAGAACACCAGUGGCGAAGGCGGCUCUCUGGUCUGCAACUGACGCUGAGGCUCGAAAGCAUGGGUAGCGAACAGGAUUAGAUACCCUGGUAGUCCAAUGCCCGUAGACGAUGAGUGCCCAGUAG
RNAcentral lists this ribosomal RNA (745 nucleotides) under uncultured bacterium. Its description in RNAcentral is "bacterial SSU rRNA". It matches the Rfam family "Bacterial small subunit ribosomal RNA", at positions 94 to 823 of the family's 1533-position model. The record is from RNAcentral.